Molecule: ribosomal RNA, 465 nt
Filed under: Vreelandella stevensii
Lineage: Bacteria; Pseudomonadati; Pseudomonadota; Gammaproteobacteria; Oceanospirillales; Halomonadaceae
Description: partial 16S ribosomal RNA
Rfam family: Bacterial small subunit ribosomal RNA
Source: RNAcentral
CCUACGGGCGGCAGCAGUGGGGAAUAUUGGACAAUGGGGGCAACCCUGAUCCAGCCAUGCCGCGUGUGUGAAGAAGGCCCUCGGGUUGUAAAGCACUUUCAGUGAGGAAGAACGCCUGGUGGUUAAUACCCAUCAGGAAAGACAUCACUCACAGAAGAAGCACCGGCUAACUCCGUGCCAGCAGCCACGGUAAUACGGAGGGUGCGAGCGUUAAUCGGAAUUACUGGGCGUAAAGCGCGCGUAGGUGGCUUCAUAAGCCGGUUGUGAAAGCCCCGGGCUCAACCUGGGAACGGCAUCCGGAACUGUCAAGCUAGAGUGCAGGAGAGGAAGGUAGAAUUCCCGGUGUAGCGGUGAAAUGCGUAGAGAUCGGGAGGAAUACCAGUGGCGAAGGCGGCCUUCUGGACUGACACUGACACUGAGGUGCGAAAGCGUGGGUAGCAAACAGGAUUAGAUACCCGAGUAGUC